Molecule: long non-coding RNA, 237 nt
Filed under: Macaca fascicularis (crab-eating macaque)
Lineage: Eukaryota; Metazoa; Chordata; Mammalia; Primates; Cercopithecidae
Description: lncRNA (ENSMFAG00000060053.1)
Source: RNAcentral
CUGAAAGAGGAUGGCAAUCUCGCUGAAGCUGUUUCUUUUUCUUCACAACAUAUAGGAAAAUGUUGCCCCUUUUUGGAGUGGUGCAUAGGGCGAUGACUAUAGAUUUUCAUCCGUAACUCCCAACACCCUACUCAGGUUUUCAUCACUAUGCAGUUGUCUUGACAAAUAAGUUUCACUUCAUCUGUCAUUUCUGACUUCACUGGGAUAAUCAGGCCUCAUCCAGUCUUGGCAUGAAUG